This 253-nucleotide ribosomal RNA is filed under the name uncultured bacterium. RNAcentral's name for it is "partial 16S ribosomal RNA". It matches the Rfam family "Bacterial small subunit ribosomal RNA", at positions 524 to 776 of the family's 1533-position model. The record is from RNAcentral.
UACGUAGGGGCCGAGCGUUGUCCGGAGUUACUGGGCGUAAAGCGCGCGCAGGCGGCUCGUCAAGCCUGACGUGAAAGCCCCCGGCUCAACCGGGGAGGGUCGUCGGGGACUGGCGGGCUUGAGGUCGGCAGGGGUUGGUGGAAUUCCCGGUGUAGUGGUGAAAUGCGCAGAUAUCAGGAAGAACACCAAUGGCGAAGGCAGCUCUCUGGGACGGUACUGACGCUGAGACGCGAAAGCGUGGGGAGCAAACAGG